UGGAGAGUUUGAUCCUGGCUCAGAACGAACGCUGGCGGCAGGCCUAACACAUGCAAGUCGUACGAGAAGGUUCCUUCGGGARCUGGAGAGUGGCGCACGGGUGAGUAACGCGUGGGGACCUACCUUUUAGUGGGGGAUAACGGUUGGAAACGACCGCUAAUACCGCAUACGCCCUUCGGGGGAAAGAUUUAUCGCUAAGAGAUGGACCCGCGUUGGAUUAGAUAGUUGGUGAGGUAACGGCUCACCAAGUCUUCGAUCCAUAGCUGGUUUGAGAGGAUGAUCAGCCACACUGGGACUGAGACACGGCCCAGACUCCUACGGGAGGCAGCAGUGGGGAAUAUUGGACAAUGGGCGCAAGCCUGAUCCAGCCAUGCCGCGUGAGUGAAGAAGGCCUUCGGGUUGUAAAGCUCUUUCAGAUGUGAAGAUGAUGACGGUAGCAUCAGAAGAAGCCCCGGCUAAUUUCGUGCCAGCAGCCGCGGUA
RNAcentral lists this ribosomal RNA (481 nucleotides) under Thalassospira sp. KMT001. RNAcentral's name for it is "bacterial SSU rRNA". It matches the Rfam family "Bacterial small subunit ribosomal RNA", at positions 1 to 522 of the family's 1533-position model. The record is from RNAcentral. Lineage: Bacteria; Pseudomonadati; Pseudomonadota; Alphaproteobacteria; Rhodospirillales; Thalassospiraceae. RNAcentral also lists the same sequence under 1 other name.